Molecule: ribosomal RNA, 481 nt
Filed under: uncultured bacterium
Lineage: Bacteria
Description: partial 16S ribosomal RNA
Rfam family: Bacterial small subunit ribosomal RNA
Source: RNAcentral
GAUGAACGCUGGCGGCGUGCUUAACACAUGCAAGUCGAACGAAGCACUUUAUUUGAUUUCCUUCGGGACUGAUUAUUUUGUGACUGAGUGGCGGACGGGUGAGUAACGCGUGGGUAACCUGCCUUGUACAGGGGGAUAACAGUUGGAAACGGCUGCUAAUACCGCAUAAGCGCACAGCAUCGCAUGAUGCAGUGUGGAAAACUCCGGUGGUAUAAGAUGGACCCGCGUUGGAUUAGCUAGUUGGUGAGGUAACGGCCCACCAAGGCGACGAUCCAUAGCCGACCUGAGAGGGUGACCGGCCACAUUGGGACUGAGACACGGCCCAAACUCCUACGGGAGGCAGCAGUGGGGAAUAUUGCACAAUGGGCGAAAGCCUGAUGCAGCGACGCCGCGUGAGCGAAGAAGUAUUUCGGUUUGUAAAGCUCUAUCAGCAGGGAAGAUAAUGACGGUACCUGACUAAGAAGCUCCGGCUAAAUACGUG